UCCGGAUUGGAGUCUGCAACUCGACUCCAUGAAGUCGGAAUCGCUAGUAAUCGUAGAUCAGAAUGCUACGGUGAAUACGUUCCCGGGCCUUGUACACACCGCCCGUCACACCAUGGGAGUGGGUUGCAAAAGAAGUAGGUAGCUUAACCUUCGGGAGGGCGCUUACCACUUUGUGAUUCAUGACUGGGGUGAAGUCGUAACAAGGUAACCGUAGGGGAACCUGCGGUUGGAUCACCUCCUUACCUUAAAGAA
Molecule: ribosomal RNA, 252 nt
Filed under: Salmonella enterica
Lineage: Bacteria; Pseudomonadati; Pseudomonadota; Gammaproteobacteria; Enterobacterales; Enterobacteriaceae
Description: partial 16S ribosomal RNA
Rfam family: Bacterial small subunit ribosomal RNA
Source: RNAcentral